RNAcentral lists this ribosomal RNA (498 nucleotides) under uncultured bacterium. RNAcentral's name for it is "partial 16S ribosomal RNA". It matches the Rfam family "Bacterial small subunit ribosomal RNA", at positions 30 to 523 of the family's 1533-position model. The record is from RNAcentral.
AUUGAACGCUGGCGGCAUGCCUUACACAUGCAAGUCGAACGGUAACAGGUCUUCGGAUGCUGACGAGUGGCGAACGGGUGAGUAAUACAUCGGAACGUGCCUAGUAGUGGGGGAUAACUACUCGAAAGAGUGGCUAAUACCGCAUGAGAUCUACGGAUGAAAGCAGGGGAUCGCAAGACCUUGUGCUACUAGAGCGGCCGAUGGGAGAUUAGGUAGUUGGAGGGAUAAAAGCUUACCAAGCCGACGAACUGUAACUGGUCUGAGGGGACGAUCAGCAACACUGGGACUGAAACACGGCCCAGACUCCUACGGGAGGCAGCAGUGGGGAAUUUUGGACAAUGGGCGAAAGCCUGAUCCAGCAAUGCCGCGUGAAGGAUGAAGGCCUUCGGGUUGUAAACUGCUUUUGUACGGAACGAAAAGCCCUGGGUUAAUACCCUGGGGUCAUGACGGUACCGUAAGAAUAAGCACCGGCUAACUACGUGCCAGCAGCCGCCGUAA